UUCGGGCCUUGCGCUACCGGAUAUGCCCAGGUGGGAUUAGCUAGUUGGUGAGGUAAGGGCUCACCAAGGCGACGAUCCCUAGCUGGUCUGAGAGGAUGAUCAGCCACACUGGAACUGAGACACGGUCCAGACUCCUACGGGAGGCAGCAGUGGGGAAUAUUGCACAAUGGGCGCAAGCCUGAUGCAGCCAUGCCGCGUGUAUG
Molecule: ribosomal RNA, 203 nt
Filed under: Vibrio cholerae
Lineage: Bacteria; Pseudomonadati; Pseudomonadota; Gammaproteobacteria; Vibrionales; Vibrionaceae
Description: partial 16S ribosomal RNA
Rfam family: Bacterial small subunit ribosomal RNA
Source: RNAcentral